This 429-nucleotide ribosomal RNA is filed under the name Chloroflexota bacterium. RNAcentral describes it as "Chloroflexi bacterium partial 16S ribosomal RNA". It matches the Rfam family "Bacterial small subunit ribosomal RNA", at positions 355 to 776 of the family's 1533-position model. The record is from RNAcentral. Lineage: Bacteria; Bacillati; Chloroflexota.
UGGGGAAUAUUGCACAAUGGGCGCAAGCCUGAUGCAGCCAUGCCGCGUGUAUGAAGAAGGCCUUCGGGUUGUAAAGUACUUUCAGCGGGGAGGAAGGGAGUAAAGUUAAUACCUUGGCUCAGUGACGUUACCCGCAGAAGAAGCACCGGCUAACUCCGUGCCAGCAGCCGCGGUAAUACGGAGGGUGCAAGCGUUAAUCGGAAUUACUGGGCGUAAAGCGCACGCAGGCGGUUUGUUAAGUCAGAUGUGAAAUCCCCGGGCUCAACCUAGGAACUGCAUCUGAUACUGGCAAGCUUGAGUCUCGUAGAGGGGGGUAGAAUUCCAGGUGUAGCGGUGAAAUGCGUAGAGAUCUGGAGGAAUACCGGUGGCGAAGGCGCCCCCCUGUCCGCAGACUGACGCUCAGGUGCGAAAGCGUGGGGAGCGAACAGG